Molecule: long non-coding RNA, 598 nt
Filed under: Homo sapiens (human)
Lineage: Eukaryota; Metazoa; Chordata; Mammalia; Primates; Hominidae
Description: non-protein coding lnc-ABCD3-2:5
Source: RNAcentral
UUAGAUUCUCCUCAACCAUGAUGAAUAAUGCCUGGGAGAGGGGAAGAAGUAAUGGAAGCCUGCACGGGUGGCCCCAAGGCAGGCAGUCCUUGGACUCCCUGGACUGCGGCUGUCCUUGACCUCACUGCUGGGGCAUGUAAAAGGAACGACUCAGAGUCUAACAGGCCACAGUCUGGGCUUGAUGUUCACCGAUUUUCCCUCAGCUCCGACUGUGGCUCCUCUCAGCUGACUCUGACCCUGCUCUCAGCCGGGCUGCAUCUGCCCAUCUCAGCACAUCAAUAAACAGCAGAGGGAAACUACCACCUUGGAAGGAGCCAGGCAGUUUCUGCUGGGUAGGCCGCAGCCUGGAACAUGGAAGUAGCUUCUUCCAUCCUACACUGGAAACCACCCAGCAUCCCGGGCCCUCCAGAGAAGAGCCAGACUCCCUUCCCUGGGAAGAGACUAUAGUCCUAUCUGUAUCCUCCGUGGUCAUUGCCCCUCAGUCACAGCAAUGAAGAGCAAAUUACCUGUUUUCUGUAUGUUCCUCUGACAACAACUGCCACAGAGUAAAUAUGAAAGGUUCUGGAUGAUUCCUUGUCAGCUUUUAUUAAAAUUCCAC